CCUACGGGAGGCAGCAGUGAGGAAUCUUGGUCAAUGGCCGGAAGGCUGAACCAGCCAUGCCGCGUGAAGGUCAGUGCCCUAUGGGCGUUAAACUUCUUUUGUGCGGGAGCAAUAAUGGUCACGUGUGGCCAGACGAGAGUACCGUACGAAUAAGCAUCGGCUAACUCCGUGCCAGCAGCCGCGGUAAUACGGGGGAUGCAAGCGUUAUCCGGAUUUAUUGGGUUUAAAGGGUGCGUAGGCUGGGGGGUAAGUCAGCGGUGAAAUGCCCCCGCUCAACGGGGUGAAGUGCCAUUGAUACUGCCUGGCUGGAAUGCGGAUGCGGUGGGAGGAAUGUGUGGUGUAGCGGUGAAAUGCAUAGAUAUCACACAGAACACCGAUUGCGAAGGCAUCUCACGAAUCCGCGAUUGACGCUGAUGCACGAAAGCGUGGGUAUCAAACAGGAUUAGAUACCCUAGUAGUC
RNAcentral lists this ribosomal RNA (460 nucleotides) under uncultured bacterium. RNAcentral describes it as "partial 16S ribosomal RNA". It matches the Rfam family "Bacterial small subunit ribosomal RNA", at positions 338 to 795 of the family's 1533-position model. The record is from RNAcentral.